CGAAACUAAAAAAGGUAAAAUAUCUCAGGCUACAAUCAAAUCCUCCUUCAGUGAAGGGAAUCUGAUAAAUAGACAUCCAAACAAACAAUGCUUAUGGGGGCAUCAAAGAAAGAUUCUGAUGCUGGGAUUGAGAUUGGUUGUUAUAUACUAGGAGAUUGGCUGUUAUAUACUAGGAGUCGGAGAUUGGAUGUUAUAUACUAGGAGAUUGGAUGUUAUAUACUGGGAGAUUGGCUGUUAUAUACUGGGAGAUUGGAUGUUAUAUACUAGGAGAUUGGCUGUUAUACACUAGGAGAUUGGUUGUUAUAUACUUGGAGACUGGCUGUUAUAUACUAGGAGAUUGGCUGUUAUAUACUUGGAGACUGGCUGUUAUAUACUAGGAGAUUGGAUGUUAUAUACUAGGAGAUUGGUUGUUAUAUACUAGGAGAUUGGAUGUUAUAUACUAGGAGAUUGGUUGUUAUAUACUAGGAGAUUGGAUGUUAUACACUAGGAGAUUGGUUGUUAUAUACUAGGAGAUUGGCUGUUAUACACUAGGAGAUUGGAUGUUAUAUACUAGGAGAUUGGCUGUUAUACACUAGGAGAUUGGUUGUUAUAUACUAGGAGAUUGGCUGUUAUAUACUAGGAGACUGGCUGUUAUACACUAGGAGAUUGGUUGUUAUACACUAGGAGAUUGGCUGUUAUAUACUAGGAGACUGGAUGUUAUAUACUAGGAGAUUGGCUGUUAUAUACUAGGAGAUUGGCUGUUAUACACUAGGAGAUUGGCUGUUAUAUACUUGGAGAUUGGAUGUUAUAUACUAGGAGACUGGCUGUUAUACACUAGGAGAUUGGUUGUUAUACACUAGGAGAUUGGUUGUUACACACUAGGAGAUUGGAUGUUAUACACUAGGAGAUUGGCUGUUAUAUACUAGGAGAUUGGAUGUUAUACACUAGGAGAUUGGCUGUUAUAUACUAGGAGAUUGGCUGUUAUACACUAGGAGAUUGGUUGUUAUAUACUAGGAGAUUGGCUGUUAUAUACUAGGAGACUGGCUGUUAUACACUAGGAGAUUGGUUGUUAUACACUAGGAGAUUGGUUGUUACACACUAGGAGAUUGGUUGUUAUAAACUUGAAGAUUUUCAGCGAUUUUAUUUUCUUAUGUAAUUCAUCCAGAUUUGUUAUGGACCAGAAAAGGUAGAUUUGAAGCUCUGUACUUUUCAUUACUAUUAAUUCAUUUAUUAAACUGAGGAUUGCAGUAACCGGAGUUAUUUUACAAAUUGUUCACAAUUCUUUAGUUUAUUUUAUAAGCCACUUGAUUUUAUGCAGGACCCAUGCGACAGGCGUUAUCGAAGCUCUUGGAUUCUAUAAAUGCUUUUCUUAUUUUACAGUUAAUCAAG
This is a non-coding RNA of Pelobates cultripes (western spadefoot toad), 1368 nucleotides long. The record is from the annotation of a GenBank genome assembly. Lineage: Eukaryota; Metazoa; Chordata; Amphibia; Anura; Pelobatidae.